UUCAAAUCAAGAUUCAUAUAUAUUUUGAAUAAACAAAAUUAAGUCAUGUCAUAUUAAAUUAAAAACAUGAAUAUGAGAUGCAAUUUUGUCUUUUGACAUAGAACACAAUAAUUAAUAGUAAAGAGAAAGAAAGGGAAGAGUAGCUAAGGGGGUAAUCCACGACUAUUUCACAAUAAGAAAAGGAAAUAUAAGGGGUUAUCUGCGGCUGUUCCUUGCAGCUUCCCAUAGUGGCUCUCCUCAUCAUCUUUAUGAUAAAAUCAUCUAGACGGCUUCAAGUCAUCCUCUUAGCUGCUCUCAUUUUGGCAAGUGAUUGCAUUAUUUUUCAGAAUUCAAGUGUUUAACAAGCCACGAGAAAGGCAAUAACACUUAAUAACAUUUUUCUCUAAAAACUUAAUAUGAGAAAAUUGUGUGUCAAA
This 416-nucleotide long non-coding RNA is filed under the name Gossypium barbadense (sea-island cotton). RNAcentral's name for it is "long non-coding RNA (GBAR_LNC005411)". The record is from RNAcentral. Lineage: Eukaryota; Viridiplantae; Streptophyta; Magnoliopsida; Malvales; Malvaceae.